Molecule: unclassified non-coding RNA, 231 nt
Filed under: uncultured Leptodontidium
Lineage: Eukaryota; Fungi; Ascomycota
Description: sequence contains ITS1
Source: RNAcentral
CUAGAGCAAAGGAUAGACAGCGCCCGGGAGCUUGCUUCCUGGGGCUACCCUACUUGUAGGGUUUAGAGUCGUCGAGCCUCUCGGAGAAGCUCGGUCCUGAACUCCACCCUUGAAUAAAUUACCUUUGUUGCUUUGGCGGGCCGCCUUGCGCCAGCGGCUUCGGCUGUUGAGUGCCCGCCAGAGGACCCCAACUCUUGUUUUUAGUGAAGUCUGAGUACUAUAUAAUAGUUA